AUCAGUCGGCAACACAAACAAACACACAGCUGAGGAAUAAAGUGCAGCUCAACGAGCAGAGAAGAAGCUGCACUUCAGCCUUUAACAUCCACGACGUCCACUUUGGUUGAGUCAACACAGACGACAUACUGCAGAGUAAUGGCUUGUUUGCACAGUAGAAAAGUCAUUAGACUGCAAGCAUUGGAUUAAUGACAGAAAAUGGAAAGUACUGAAGACCGAAAAGGCUCGGAAACCGCAUAUUUCAUCUUUAGUUCAUCUAUAGCAGGGGUGUCAAACAUGUGGUCUGUGGGCCAGAAGCGGCCCUCCAGAGGGUCCAAUCCGGCCCCGGGGGCCUCUGAGAAAACGCCUGCCGAAGCCAAAGCAGGGCUUCAGAGGGAAAAGGUGUUGAGAGAAACCUAAUCUGUGAGCGGGAUGGUGGGAGGAGGAGGUGGUGAGGAAAGGCUGGUGGCGGUCCGAAGGAAAAGGACCUCCUCGCCGCUCACAUACCUGACAUACCUCACAGAUUCUCACAAGCUGAUACCAAACAGAUCGCCUUAACAGAGAGCCCCGUAAACAAAGAAGGCAACUCAUUCUGAGUUUGGUCCAAAAAGCAGCCUGUACUUAAAUAUAGGUGUUACUGUUUGUAGACGACAAUCAGCUGGUAAAAAUAAAGUGCAUUUAUUAGUGGUGA
Molecule: long non-coding RNA, 670 nt
Organism: Amphiprion ocellaris (clown anemonefish)
Lineage: Eukaryota; Metazoa; Chordata; Actinopteri; Pomacentridae
Source: Ensembl